GGAGGAGGGGCGGGGAAUCCCACCCUGCGGGGCGGGGAUGGCGCCGCGUCACUGCGUGGGGCCGCCCACACAGAGGGGGGGGAGGACGGGGGGGGGAGCGGCGAUGGGACCCAUAAGUGUGGGGCGGGGGGUGCCCGAAUGGCUGCCCGUAAAGGCGCAGCGAAGCGCGGAACUGUGGGGCAAAAAGGUCCCCGAGUGGCCCCGGUGAGCCCACGGAGAGCCCCAUAAGUGUGGGGCGGGAGGAGCCCGGGUGGCGCACAUCAACCCACGGCAGAGCCCACAGGUGUGGGGCAGAAGGUCCCCAAGAGGCCCCCGUGAGCCCAUAGGAAACCCCACAAGUGUGGGGCAGCAGCUCUCCAAGUGACCCCCGUGAGCCCAUAUGGAACCCCACAGAUGUGGGGCAGAAGAUCUCCAAUUGACCCCAGCGGGCUCACGGUGAACCCCACAAGUGUGGGGCAGAAGGUCCCCAAGAGACCCCCGUGAGCCCAUAGGAAACCCCACAAGUGUGGGGCAGCAGCUCUCCAAGUGACCCCCAUAAACCCAUGGCAAACCCCAUAAAUGUGGGGCAGAGCAUCUCCAACAGACCCCCACGAACCCACAGCAAUCUCCAUAAGUGUGGGGCAGAAGGUCCCCAGGUGACCCCCGUGAGCCCAUAUGGAACCCCACAGAUGUGGGGCAGAACAUCUCCAACAGACCCCCAUCAACCCACAGCAAACCCCACAAGUGUGGGGCAGAAGGUCCCCAAGAGACCCCCGUGAGCCCAUAGGAAACCCCACAAGUGUGGGGCAGCAGCUCUCCAAGUGACCCCCAUAAACCCAUGGCAAACCCCAUAAAUGUGGGGCAGAGCAUCUCCAACAGACCCCCACGAACCCACAGCAAUCUCCAUAAGUGUGGGGCAGAAGGUCCCCAGGUGACCCCCGUGAGCCCAUAUGGAACCCCACAGAUGUGGGGCAGAACAUCUCCAACAGACCCCCAUCAACCCACAGCAAACCCCACAAGUGUGGGGCAGAAGGUCCCCAAGAGACCCCCGUGAGCCCAUAGGAAACCCCACAAGUGUGGGGCAGCAGCUCUCCAAGUGACCCCCAUAAACCCAUGGCAAACCCCAUAAAUGUGGGGCAGAGCAUCUCCAACAGACCCCCACGAACCCACAGCAAUCCCCAUAAGUGUGGGGCAGAAGGUCCCCAGGUGACCCCCGUGAGCCCAUAUGGAACCCCACAGAUGUGGGGCAGAACAUCUCCAACAGACCCCCAUCAACCCACAGCAAACCCCACAAGUGUGGGGCAGAAGGUCCCCAGGUGACCCCCGUGAGCCCAUAUGGAACCCCACAGAUGUGGGGCAGAACAUCUCCAACAGACCCCCAUCAACCCACAGCAAACCCCACAAGUGUGGGGCAGAAGGUCCCCAGGUGACCCCUAUGAGCCCACAUGGAACCCCACAGAUGUGGGGCAGAAGAUCUCCAAUUGACCCCAGUGGGCUCACGGUGAACCCCAUAAGUGUGGGGCAGGCGGUCCCCAAGUGAUCCCCCAUAUCCUGCCCAGUACCCCCCAGUAUCCCACCCCCAUAUCUCCCAGUAUCCUCCAAUAUCUUCCAGUAUCCCCCACUAUCCCCCAAUAUCUCCCAGUAUCCCCCAGUUUCCCUCAUUAUCUCCCAGUACCCCCCAGUAUCCCCCAGUAUCCCUCAUUAUCUCCCAGUAUCUCCCAGUAUCCCCCAGUAUCCCCCAUUAUCUCCCAGUAUCCCACCCCAGUAUCUCUCAAUAUCUCCCAAUAUCUCCCAGUAUCCCACCCCAGUAUCUCCCAGUAUCCCCCAAUAUCUUCCAGUAUCCCCCAGUACCCUCAAUAUCUCCCAGUAUCCCACCCCAAUAUCCCCAGUAUCCCCCAGUAUCUCCCAAUAUCUCCCAUAUCUCCCAAUAUCUCCCAGUAUCCCACCCCAGUACCCCCCAGUACCCCGCAGUACCCCCCAUUAUCUCCCAGUACCCCCCAGUAUCCCCCAUUAUCUCCCAGUACCCCCAGUACCCCCCAGUAUCC
Molecule: long non-coding RNA, 2024 nt
Organism: Gallus gallus (chicken)
Lineage: Eukaryota; Metazoa; Chordata; Aves; Galliformes; Phasianidae
Source: Ensembl